RNAcentral lists this ribosomal RNA (253 nucleotides) under uncultured bacterium. Its description in RNAcentral is "partial 16S ribosomal RNA". It matches the Rfam family "Bacterial small subunit ribosomal RNA", at positions 524 to 776 of the family's 1533-position model. The record is from RNAcentral.
UACGAGGGGGGCGAGCGUUGUUCGGAAUUAUUGGGCGUAAAGGGUGCGUAGGCGGCCUGUCAAGUCUGAUGUGAAAUCCCUGGGCUCAACCCAGGGCCUGCAUCGGAAACUGUCGGGCUUGAGUAUGGGAGAGGUGAGUGGAAUUUCCGGUGUAGCGGUGAAAUGCGUAGAUAUCGGAAGGAACACCAGUGGCGAAGGCGGCCUUCUGGACCAAUACUGACGCUCAUGCACGAAAGCGUGGGGAGCAAACAGG